Molecule: ribosomal RNA, 465 nt
Filed under: uncultured bacterium
Lineage: Bacteria
Description: bacterial SSU rRNA
Rfam family: Bacterial small subunit ribosomal RNA
Source: RNAcentral
UACGGAAGGCAGCAGGUGGGGAAUAUUGCACAAUGGGCGCAAGCCUGAUGCAGCCAUGCCGCGUGUAUGAAGAAGGCCUUCGGGUUGUUAAAGUACUUUCAGUCGUGAGGAAGGUGUUAAGGUUAAUAACCUUAAGCAAUUGACGUUAGCGACAGAAGAAGCACCGGCUAACUCCGUGCCAGCAGCCGCGGUAAUACGGAGGGUGCGAGCGUUAAUCGGAAUUACUGGGCGUAAAGGGCACGCAGGCGGUUAAUUAAGUUGGAUGUGAAAUCCCCGGGCUUAACCUGGGAAUGGCAUUCAAGACUGGUUAGCUAGAGUCUUGUAGAGGGGGUAGAAUUCCAUGUGUAGCGGUGAAAUGCGUAGAGAUGUGGAGGAAAUACCGGUGGCGAAGGCGGCCCCCUGGACAAAAGGACUGACGCUCAUGUUGCGAAAAGCGUGGGGAGCAAAACAGGGAUUUAGAUACCC